RNAcentral lists this long non-coding RNA (1088 nucleotides) under Homo sapiens (human). RNAcentral's name for it is "HSALNT0323316". Lineage: Eukaryota; Metazoa; Chordata; Mammalia; Primates; Hominidae. The record is from RNAcentral.
AUUAAAAUUGCUUUAGGAAAAUGAGAUAUUUGAAAUUAACUUAGAAAACAAGGGAUACCCACUUUGGUGAGAAUUAUUAAUUAUUUAAUGACUGAGUUCAAAAGCAGACAGAAAAAUGACAUCAUUUAGACAGUCAUACCGAAUUUCUCCUCCUUUAAUAAGUAUUCAGAACACACUACCUUUAAGGAUUCAAGAUAGCCCUGAGGUUGCCUUUCCACAAAGGAUUAACUUCUACUUCUUUGCCAUUUGGGAAAUUGAGAACCAACUGACAUAUUUUAUGGUGCAAUGGAACCCAUGAAAAAGGCCUUACAAUAUAAAUUGGACAUGUAUCUAAAUCAGUAGUAAGAUGCUACUGGGGCCUCUGCAUGUAUUCCCAAGAUGCAGAACCCCUGAGAGGCUCCUUCCAAUGGUGUGAAGUUCAGGAAAAGUAUCAACCAAAGGUGAACCUAUGGUACACGCAUCCAAACUGGGAUCUCAUCUGAGGACAAACCUGAAACAAGGCAGGACUUCCACAGGUGGCUGUCACUCCUGUGUCUCCUGGUACAGAAGCUGCCAGAGGGGUUGUCAGCAGUUCUAGUUAAGCACGUUACUUACACGUCCAUGGAAACAGACUCAGAUCUUCAACACGUAGCUUGGCAUCCAGGUAUUGGAAGAUGAGAGAGUAAGUGCAAGGGUUGUCUGCUUGGCAAAUAUCAGCUCAUAGACCUUGCCCACUCCUGUUGGUUCGUGUGGAACAAAGCAGCCUUCCAGCCUUAAUGCCACACCCCCUCAAUAGAGCUUCUUCAGGCAGAAGGGUGAAUAGAAACAACGAAAAACAAGACUUCUCUCAACAAAGCAGAAAGCAAGUAAGAUGUGAAAUUCAGAGGGUCCUUGCUGGCACUAUGACUAUAAGCUUUCUAUAGCUCUUUCUGCAGAUUCUCAAGUUUAAGAGAAUUCAAUUAUAUUUGAAGGUAGAGUCAAUGAAGAUGCACCAUUGAAGGAGACCAAUCUGUUGCAUUCAGGUGGCCAUGAAAUCGCAAGGCCUAAUUGAUAGCUAGAACAGUCGUGCCUUCCCGAAACUCUAUUUUUAAGUGAUCACCCACAAAAAG